GUACGGGGCCAGCGUUGCUCGGAAUUACUGGGCGUAAAGGGUUCGUAGGCGGUGCGGCAAGUUGGGAGUGAAAUCUCUGGGCUUAACCCAGAGGCUGCUUUCAAAACUGCCGCGCUCGAGUGCGAGAGAGGUCAGUGGAAUUGCAGGUGUAGCGGUGAAAUGCGUAGAUAUCUGCAGGAACACCCGUGGCGAAGGCGGCUGACUGGAUCGCAACUGACGCUGAGGAACGAAAGCUAGGGGAGCAAACAGGAUUAGAUACCCUGGUAGUCCUAGCCCUAAACCAUCAGGACUUGGGGUGGCCCGCGUAGGCGGGUCGUCCCGUAGCUAACGCGUUAAGUCCUGCGCCUGGGGAGUACGGUCGCAAGACUG
RNAcentral lists this ribosomal RNA (369 nucleotides) under uncultured bacterium. RNAcentral's name for it is "bacterial SSU rRNA". It matches the Rfam family "Bacterial small subunit ribosomal RNA", at positions 527 to 896 of the family's 1533-position model. The record is from RNAcentral.